Molecule: ribosomal RNA, 413 nt
Filed under: uncultured Clostridium sp.
Lineage: Bacteria; Bacillati; Bacillota; Clostridia; Eubacteriales; Clostridiaceae
Description: bacterial SSU rRNA
Rfam family: Bacterial small subunit ribosomal RNA
Source: RNAcentral
UAGGGAAUAUUGCUCAAUGGGCGAAAGCCUGAAGCAGCAACGCCGCGUGGAGGAUGACACUUUUCGGAGCGUAAACUCCUUUUGUUGGGGAAGAAAUUUGACGGUACCCAACGAAUAAGCACCGGCUAACUACGUGCCAGCAGCCGCGGUAAUACGUAGGUUGCAAGCGUUGUCCGGAAUUACUGGGUGUAAAGGGCGUGUAGGCGGAGAUGCAAGUUGGGAGUGAAAUCCAUGGGCUUAACCCAUGAACUGCUCUCAAAACUGUAUCCCUUGAGUAUCGGAGAGGCAAGCGGAAUUCCUAGUGUAGCGGUGAAAUGCGUAGAUAUUAGGAGGAACACCAGUGGCGAAGGCGGCUUGCUGGACGACAACUGACGCUGAGGCGCGAAAGCGUGGGGAGCAAACAGGAUUAGAUA